RNAcentral lists this non-coding RNA (89 nucleotides) under Pseudomonas sp. URMO17WK12:I6. The record is from RNAcentral. RNAcentral also lists the same sequence under 1 other name. Lineage: Bacteria; Pseudomonadati; Pseudomonadota; Gammaproteobacteria; Pseudomonadales; Pseudomonadaceae.
CUUAAUGGUGGUUGUGCGCAGGGCGCCCUCGGGCGCGCCGGUUUUGCUAACUUCCCCGGUCGACUAACCUGCGCACAGCUGCCUCCAUU